AUACUCUGGUUUCUCUUCAGAUCAUAUAAAUCUUUCGCCUUUUACUAAAGAUCUCCGUGGAGAGGAACGUUUAUGAGUUUCUACCCAAUUUUUUAUUAUAUACCCCAGAUGUGUUCA
Gopherus agassizii (Agassiz's desert tortoise) is the source of this 117-nucleotide small nuclear RNA. Its record names the gene U5. It matches the Rfam family "U5 spliceosomal RNA". Rfam says of the family: U5 RNA is a component of both types of known spliceosome. The precise function of this molecule is unknown, though it is known that the 5' loop is required for splice site selection and p220 binding, and that both the 3' stem-loop and the Sm site are important for Sm protein binding and cap methylation. NCBI's taxonomy places the organism in Eukaryota, Metazoa, Chordata, Testudines, Testudinidae. The record is from Ensembl.